Molecule: ribosomal RNA, 253 nt
Filed under: uncultured bacterium
Lineage: Bacteria
Description: partial 16S ribosomal RNA
Rfam family: Bacterial small subunit ribosomal RNA
Source: RNAcentral
UACAGAGGUCUCAAGCGUUGUUCGGAUUCAUUGGGCGUAAAGGGUGCGUAGGUGGCGUCGUAAGUCAGGUGUGAAAUUUCGGAGCUUAACUCCGAAACUGCAUUCGAUACUGGCGUGCUUGAGGACUGGAGAGGAGACUGGAAUUCAUGGUGUAGCAGUGAAAUGCGUAGAGAUCAUGAGGAAGACCAGUGGCGAAGGCGGGUCUCUGGGCCGAUACUGACGCUGAGGAGCGAAAGCGUGGGGAGCGAACAGG